Molecule: long non-coding RNA, 1006 nt
Filed under: Phasianus colchicus (ring-necked pheasant)
Lineage: Eukaryota; Metazoa; Chordata; Aves; Galliformes; Phasianidae
Description: lncRNA (ENSPCLG00000021858.1)
Source: RNAcentral
AGAAGACCAGGACAUUUUGAUCUGAUCAGGCAGAAGCUCUCCUACAACGAAUCAAGAAGAAAAUAAUAGAAAAUGGGAUAGUUACAGCCUAUGUCAUCAACUGUUAAAAAAAAAAAAAAAAGUACAAAAUUCAGUACAAACACUAUGGUGAGAUCAUCUCUUUUUCCUGUGAGCAGAAAGAACAAUACCCCUGCAAGAAGGAUCACAUGACUCCACCUCUACUGAUCCUAUCUGCAUAAGAUGCAGGAAGUCCAUGGAGAGAUGUUGUAGGAGUGGAGGACAAACUUAAAAGACCAGCAUGGCAGAGAGAAAACAAAAAGGAUUCAUCCUGUUAGAGUUUUGGCUUGACAGUCUACUGAAAGAUGUUUUUUGUUUGUUAACCUUUCUUACUCCUGCCUCUUCUCUAGAAGUUUCCUUUUCUCAGAUGCCUCCUAGAGCAAGGCUACAGCAGAGAGUUAUUUUGAACAUAGAGCUAAAUGCAAAAAAAAAAAAAAAAAGUGCAAGUAAGUUCAUCUUUGGAUGCAUACAUUUACUAAGUAAGUACAGGAUGUUUAGCAUCUUUCCCUUUGGCUUUAUUUAUAAGACAUUCAUUCUCUCUCCACAGGUGAAUGAAAACCAAUAGGCUCACACAACCUGUUUACAAAUAUGUCCUGUUUUUAUCUAUGAUUACUUCACAGCACUGCUGUGUUUCUCUGAUGUGCUGGGCUUCAGUCGCAGUCCUGAUAUAAGCAAUGUGUUACUUUCCCAACCAAAGAAAAUGUAAUUUAAACAAGCUUGUCAAUGGUGGGGCCCAGCAGGCAGGUGAAGCAAGGAAUCCAAAGGAGGGUCAGGUUCCCUGGAAUUUCUCUGCUACCACAGAAGAUUAGAAGAUAAUGCUUCUCAUUUGGAAGAAACAAACAAAAUCUGGAAAUGUAAUGCAUCCUCAAAAGUUUAUAGUGAGAAGGAGGUAUUAGCUUGACAUCAAACUAGUGCCAGUAAUAAAGCUGUGUGAAAGUGAUGUGUUUCA